RNAcentral lists this ribosomal RNA (492 nucleotides) under uncultured bacterium. RNAcentral's name for it is "partial 16S ribosomal RNA". It matches the Rfam family "Bacterial small subunit ribosomal RNA", at positions 29 to 507 of the family's 1533-position model. The record is from RNAcentral.
AGUGAACGCUGGCUGUAGGCCUAACACAUGCAAGUCGAACGGCAGCACAGUAAGAGCUUGCUCUUACGGGUGUCGAGUGGCGGACGGUUGAGGAAUACAUCGGAAUCUACUUUUUCGUGGUGGAUAACGUAGGGAAACUUACUCUAAUACCUCAUACCACCUUCGGGUGAAAGCGGGGUAUCUUCCUACCUUGCGCGAUUGAAUUAGCCGAUGUCGUGUUUGCUAGUUGGCAGGGUAAAGGCCCACCAAGGCGACGAUCCGUAGCUGGUCUGUGAGGAUGAUCGGCCAUACUGGAACAGAGACACGGGCCAGACUCCUACGGGAGGCAGCAGUGAGGAAUAUUGGACAAUGGGGACAAGCAUGAUCCAGACAGACAGCGUGGGUGAGGAAGGUCUUCGGGUUGUAAAGCACACUUAUUGGGAAAGAAAAGAAGCAGGUUAGUAUCACGCUGUUGUGACGGUACCAAAAGAAUAAGCACCGGCUAACGUCGUG